Ceratosolen solmsi marchali is the source of this 143-nucleotide long non-coding RNA. RefSeq lists it as uncharacterized. NCBI's taxonomy places the organism in Eukaryota, Metazoa, Arthropoda, Insecta, Hymenoptera, Agaonidae. The record is from RefSeq and is a predicted model, not a curated record. The transcript has 3 exons.
AUUUUCUACGAAAGUUAAACAUUCGUAAUACAUUUUUCAGGAUUGAAAUAACGUAUAACUACAAAACUAAAUGUAAUGUACAAUCAGGAAUUAGCAAUAGAUGUCUCAAUUAUUUUAUGUACAUUAUUAACAUCAAUAUUAAA